AGAGUUUGAUUUUGGCUCAGAACGAACGCUGGCGGCGCGUUUUAAGCAUGCAAGUCGAGCGGCAGGGGGGCUUCGGUCCCCCGAGAGCGGCGGACGAGUGAGUAACACGUGGACAACCUGCCCCCCGGUUCGGGAUAGCCCAGGGAAACCUGGAUCAAUACCGGAUGCGAGGGCGGCCGCACAAGCGGCCGUCGGGAAAGGCGCUUCGGCGCCGCCGGGGGAUGGGUCCGCGUCCCAUUAGCUAGACGGUGGGGUAACGGCCCACCGUGGCGAUGAUGGGUAGCCGGCCUGAGAGGGUGGACGGCCACAUUGGAACUGAGACACGGUCCAGACUCCUACGGGAGGCAGCAGCUAAGAAUCUUCCGCAAUGGGCGAAAGCCUGACGGAGCGACGCCGCGUGAACGAAGAAGGCCGUGAGGUUGUAAAGUUCUUUUCGGGAGGGGGAACGAGGCUGCCAGGCAAUGGGCGGCCGAUGACGUGAGUCCCGGAAUAAGCCCCGGCUAACUACGUGCCAGCAGCCGCGGUAACACGUAGGGGGCGAGCGUUGUUCGGAAUCAUUGGGCGUAAAGGGCGUGCAGGCGGCCGCCAAAGUCCGGCGUGAAAGACCCAGGCUCAACCUGGGGGGUGCGCCGGAUACUGGGCGGCUUGAGUACAGGAGGGGACGGCGGAAUUCCAGGUGUAGGGGUGAAAUCUGUAGAUAUCUGGAGGAACACCGAUGGCGAAGGCAGCCGUCUGGCCAUGUACUGACGCUGAGGCGCGAAGGUGCGGGGAGCAAACAGGUUUAGAUACCCUGGUAGUCCGCACAG
This 806-nucleotide ribosomal RNA is filed under the name uncultured bacterium. RNAcentral's name for it is "bacterial SSU rRNA". It matches the Rfam family "Bacterial small subunit ribosomal RNA", at positions 8 to 802 of the family's 1533-position model. The record is from RNAcentral.